This is a long non-coding RNA of Pecten maximus, 1201 nucleotides long. RefSeq lists it as uncharacterized. Lineage: Eukaryota; Metazoa; Mollusca; Bivalvia; Pectinida; Pectinidae. The record is from RefSeq and is a predicted model, not a curated record. The transcript is spliced from 2 exons.
GAUCUAUAUAGUAUGAAUGAAAACUCGCAUUCUGUGGUGGGACCAUGGGUUGGUAAAUCUGUGUCGAUUCCCUGUGACACCACAUGUAUUGUCCAGUAUAACCAUUGUCUUCGGCGCUUUCGAUAUAAGUUACCUAAAAAGUAUAUGUCCGUUAAAUUGUUUUCCGAAAAUAAGCAACAAUAAUACCUCUUCAAUAACAAUAUCUUUUAAUUGGAUGAAGAAUUUUUUUUAAUUUAGUUUUCUAUAGUGGUCCCUACAUCAAAGUUUUGGCUAAUUUGAUUUGGAACUCGUAACGAACGGUAUAUAUAUUGUAAGAUUAAGGCUCGCGGGUAUUAACACGGGGGAGGUAAUUAUAUGUACAUACAGGUGAGUAUACAGGUGAGUGGUCACUCACCCUGGUCAUUCUUAUCGCCACAGGUAUUCAUCCCCAUGGUCACCUAUGGACAUCGGCCUUGUCAAAACAUUGUUCACGCAUAGGUCGACAUCUGUCAAAUACCGUUACAUAAUAAAACGGUCAUGGUUGUGACCCUUAGCAUGUUUACACUCGAACCUAGUACGUGUUAGUAAAAGGACGCCAUAUUGGAUGUAGAUGUCACAAAGUUGUCUGCAGCCUGAACGCAGUAACCAGAUUUAGACUUCAAAGUAAACUGCAUCGUAAACACCAUCAGCAGUGAUAUAGACUUUGCAGUCAUGGAGAAUUCCUACGAUGUUUCGCCCGAGGCCUUGGACAAAAUCCAAAAAAUCGCCCGAGCUGAAAUGUAUGGCAGAUCGCAACUUUUGAAAUUGGACAAUAAACUUAGAGAUCUCGACAAGCGGAUCCGGAAGUACCAAGACCACAAACCUUAUAAACACGUGCUGAAACAAAGGCGCAAAGUGACCUCAGGCGUUCGGAACAUGUUCGCCAAAUACGUCCAGAGAAAGUCCAUACAGGCUACGAAACUUGUCAUUCAAAACUUUGCUGAAACAAUGCUAGCGCGUCAUAGGACGAGUCAAAGCACGAGACCAGUGGCAUCUGAUGACGAAACACCAACGACGAGUGAUCCCAAUGGAGCGGAAACACAAACGAGAGAGUAUUCUCCGGAAAGUGACGGACAUUGAUUGGGAAAAAAAACCUGACGGGCCUUCCGUAUGUUGUUAAAUGAGGUAGUCACCAACUACUACCAGGAGACCCCGCCUGAAAAUGAAAAUGGCUUUUCACGGG